Molecule: long non-coding RNA, 1849 nt
Organism: Cebus imitator (Panamanian white-faced capuchin)
Lineage: Eukaryota; Metazoa; Chordata; Mammalia; Primates; Cebidae
Exons: 4
Source: RefSeq, a predicted model, not a curated record
CAUUAACAAUCAGAUAAAAGUGGCCAUUUGGAUUAUGCUUCCGGGGUAGAAAUGAUCCUGUGGGAAACUUGUCAGACUUUGUGGCGGACUGUUGCUCUCUCUUUUUCCUCUUCCUUUUCUCUCCCUCCUCACCUCUUACUGUGCACUCUUUCUUAUAUCUUUUCCUCCCUGUGCCUACUACUGGGUGGAGUUUCCUUGUGGGCCCCACUGUUGUGCUAAGAAUAGCACUAGCUGCUACUUAUCAAGCCUUUGCCACUUGCCAGGCACUGUGCAGAGCACCCUAGAUACAUUACCUCACUUAUUGCACCCAACAGCCCUCCAGGAGGAUGGGCAUAUUUGUGUAAUGAACCCAGUCUUGACACGGUGUUUAAUUGCUUUAUUAUGCUCUUUGUCAGCACUCCAAAUAAUAAAGUUUAUUGGUAUUCUUAACUUUUUCAUGCUUGACUUAAAAUAUAUUGUAAAUAUCAUGUUGGCCACUGAAAAGAGCUAGCAGGCAGGUUAUGGGGAAUUGGAGUUAUGCUUUAUUAUUAUUAUUUCUUAUCUUUCCCUGAGCAGUAAUUACUGGCGGUAAAUGAAAGUUCUGGGAGCUGUUGUUUCAUAUUGAAAUUUAACUGCUUCCUUCCCUGCAGUAAAAUAGAUACUGGUGAGAUGGAGCCAGGAUGAGUAAGGGCAUAAAAUAUAGGAAGGUACUAAGCCUUGAACUCAGCUUCUCCUUAUCACCUCAAUAUUAAGCAUCAUUUUCAAUGCAUAAUUAUAUGAGAAAAUGAAAGUGCCAAGUCUCUACACUGUACAUUCCCCAGGCAAGAACUUCCAGGUUGUCUCUGGAAGAUCCAGCCUUUUCAGUGGGAAAUCAAGAGAGGAAGGUUGGUCAGUGGAGGCUGGGGUUUCUGUUUGCCUUUUUCUUCCUCCUAGAGUGUACAUUACCUCCACUUUGCUCACUGUCCUAGUGAACUCACCUGUGUACAGAAUUCUCCAGAGUUCUGCUUCCCAGGUGCGAUAAAGAAUCUUCAGGUGGAGAGGCAAUCCUGAAUUAUCCAGUGGGCCCUAAAUGUCACCACAGUGCCAUCCUUCUAAACAAGAAGCAGAAGAUCUGUCACACGCAGGACAGGGGAAGGCAAUGUGACCAUGGAGGCAGAGACAGGAGUGAUGUGGCCAUAAGCCAAGGAUUGUCGGCAGCCGCCAGUGGCUGAAGGGGCAAGGAACAGAUUCUCCUCUGGAGCCUCUGGAGGAAGAAUGGCCCUGAUAAUACCUUGAUUUUGGCCCAGUGAUAGUGAUUUUGGACUUCUGGCCGCUAGAACUCAAGUUCGGGACUGUGCUAGGUAUGACCUGGGAUAGAAAGAGCAUAUACUCAGCUUUUACCUUCAAGAAAAUUGGAUAUUGGCUUGGGAGAUAAGAUAAAUGAAAAGGAAGCAGAUGAUCUGUUAUAGAAAAGAUAACACUGUAAGCCCAACAUGAGUAAUGCAUUUCUACUUAGAGGACAGCUAAGUGAAAAUGUACUCCUGAAACAAGAUUUGUUCUGCUGGCUUCCUUGAAUUUGUCAAAAAGACAAAAAUCUCACCAGCUUCACUUUGUAAUAAUGCCCCAAAAUUACUUGGCAUCAUCUUCCACCUACUUUUCUUGGCUCUAUUAUUUAAUAUUUGUAGUAGGGAGGAAGAAAAUGAACACAUUCACAAUUUAAGGUUCUGCUUAUACAUGUAUUGUCAAAGCUACCUAUUUUAAACAAGGUGUUUUAUAUUUUAUUAAAGUGAUCAGUGCCUAUGAGUAUAAAAGAAAUGAUGGUAGCUUCAUGAUCUUUUUCAUAACAGAGUCCCAUACUUAACACUUUCAUGUGCUGACACUGAUAAUGAAG